GAUGAACGCUGGCGGCGUGCCUAAUACAUGCAAGUCGAGCGAACGGACGAGAAGCUUGCUUCUCUGAUGUUAGCGGCGGACGGGUGAGUAACACGUGGAUAACCUACCUAUAAGACUGGGAUAACUUCGGGAAACCGUAGCUAACACCGGAUAAUAUUUUGAAUCGCAUGGUUCAAAAGCGAAAGACGGUCUUGCUGUCACUUAUAGAUGGAUCCGCGCUGCAUUAGCUAGUUGGUAAGGUAACGGCUUACCAAGGCAACGAUGCAUAGCCGACCUGAGAGGGUGAUAGGCCACACUGGAACUGAGACACGGUCCAGACUCCUACGGUAGGCAGCAAUAGGGAAUCUUGCACACUGGGCGAAAGCCUGACGGAGCGACGCCGCGUGAGUGAUGAAGGUCUUCGGAUCGUAAAACUCUGUUAUUGGGGAAGAACAUAUGUGUAAAUAACUAUACACAUCUUGACGAUACCUAAUCAGAAAGCCACGGCUAACUACGUG
Molecule: ribosomal RNA, 497 nt
Filed under: uncultured bacterium
Lineage: Bacteria
Description: partial 16S ribosomal RNA
Rfam family: Bacterial small subunit ribosomal RNA
Source: RNAcentral